RNAcentral lists this ribosomal RNA (90 nucleotides) under Staphylococcus aureus. The record is from RNAcentral. Lineage: Bacteria; Bacillati; Bacillota; Bacilli; Caryophanales; Staphylococcaceae.
CACCUGUUUCCAUGCCGAACACAGAAGUUAAGCUCCUUAGCGUCGAUGGUAGUCGAACUUACGUUCCGCUAGAGUAGAACGUUGCCAGGC